This 74-nucleotide transfer RNA is filed under the name Haptophyceae sp. NIES-3900. RNAcentral's name for it is "tRNA-Ile". It matches the Rfam family "tRNA". Rfam says of the family: Transfer RNA (tRNA) molecules are approximately 80 nucleotides in length. The record is from RNAcentral. Lineage: Eukaryota; Haptophyta.
GGGCUAUUAGCUCAGCUGGUUAGAGCGUACCCCUGAUAAGGGUAAGGUCUCUGGUUCAAAUCCAGAAUGGCCCA